RNAcentral lists this transfer RNA (68 nucleotides) under Marmota monax (woodchuck). Its description in RNAcentral is "tRNA.Ala". The record is from RNAcentral. Lineage: Eukaryota; Metazoa; Chordata; Mammalia; Rodentia; Sciuridae.
GGCUUGUGGCUCAGUGGUAGCGUGCUUGUCUAGCAUGCAAGAGGCACUGGGUUCGAUCCUCUGCACCA